This 1438-nucleotide long non-coding RNA is filed under the name Marmota monax (woodchuck). Lineage: Eukaryota; Metazoa; Chordata; Mammalia; Rodentia; Sciuridae. The record is from RNAcentral.
ACAGCGCUUGUUCAACCCACAGAAAAGGAAAAUGGACCCUGCCCAUCAGCCCUCCAUUUUGAAGGGGUCAGAUGGAGGUGGUAUUUUAAAAGUGGGUCUCUUAUAAAUAAAAGCUCAUCUCUUCCCCUUUGUUAUUUCUCACCAAAGUACUAGCAGAUAAGUAGUGGCUCAUCAGACAACUUCAGGUGCACUGAGCACAGAGUAACUCCUUGAGCCCUGGUGACUGAUGGCACAUUGCCCCCCAUCCCCCGGGGAGAGAUCUGGUUGCACAGGACUCUCCCAUCCUGAUACCCCCAAAACGACGACUGGCAUUUCCAGUGCUGGGUACCAGGCCAUACACAAAGCACUUUCUGUAGAGAAAGCACAGUAAUCCUCACAGCAGCCUUGGAGGUAGAUUUUAUUGUUACGCCCAUUUUACAGAUGAAGAAACAAAAGCUGUGGGCUGAGGAGCUUGCCAAGGGAAACCAUGAAGAAACCAUGAAGCUGGAUUUGAAGACCAGUGGUCUUGCUUCAGUGAGCGCUGUGCUCGGUCAGAUCCUCCUGGGAGUCCAAGCCAGCUCUGCAGGACAGCAGGAAAGGCCAGGGGCACGUGCUGCUUUCCUGGUGCGAAGCUGGGCUCCAGGGGUUCCAACACCAGGGAUACUAACUGGGCUUGCUUAACCCGAGGUUUCCCCACCCGCAGAGCUUCAGGCUGUGCACACAAUUGACUUAUUUUCACUUACAGAGUUACUUAUAUGAAGGAAAUUACCUGAAAAGUUAAACAUACCAAGCUACCCUGCUAAAAAUGUCCCAAAGAUUCAUUUCAGUAAUUGUCACUGCAGAUGGGUCCUUGCUGUCUGUGCUUAGAGCCUUACAGCAAAGUGGCCUUCCACAGUGGGAGAGCCCUGAGGAAGUGCCUGGGGAGAAGCCCAGCACUGUUUUUACCAUUGGAUAACCUCUUGCUUUAUCAUUCCUCUGCCCUGGGCUACUAAUGAUUCAGAAGGGCAUGGAAACAUGGAAUGAGAAAAAUGCCACAAAUGUAAGUACCACAGUCGUUAUUUCUGCUGUUUUGAACAUACCUACCAGUCCCCUCUUGGUUCAGUGUUUUGCCGGUAAGGCAGGAUGUCCACCACGACAGAGGUUCAGCUGCACUUUGCCUGCACUUUGCCAGAAGCUGCUGUGAGCAAGCCACCUCUUGUGUGGCUACCCUUUGACCAGAGCGGCACUUUGAUUGGUCAGAAUACUUGUGGUCUGAAAGGCAGGUUGGUGGUGUGCAUGAGCCUCUCCACUGUUCUCAGUCCAUGCAAGUUUCCGUUUGACUUAAGUAAAUACCUGACAAUGUUCUGUUGCAUCAAUUUUAUUGACAGAAUACUCCAUACCCUCUCUAACUGCAGCAGCAGCAUGCUCAUUUCUCCAUGUUUUAUGUGGGGUGGGAAGGGGAGCAGUGUGUGUGUGUGUG